UACGUAGGCAGCAAGCGUUGUUCGGAAUUACUGGGCGUAAAGAGUGUGUAGGCGGUGCUCUAAGUUCGGUGUGAAAUCUCCCGGCUCAACUGGGAGGGUGCGCCGGAAACUGGAAUGCUUGAGCGUGGGAGAGGAAAGCGGAAUUCCUGGUGUAGCGGUGAAAUGCGUAGAUAUCAGGAGGAACACCUGCGGUGUAGACGGCUUUCUGGACCAUUGCUGACACUGAGGCACGAAAGCUAGGGGAGCAAACAGG
RNAcentral lists this ribosomal RNA (253 nucleotides) under uncultured bacterium. RNAcentral describes it as "partial 16S ribosomal RNA". It matches the Rfam family "Bacterial small subunit ribosomal RNA", at positions 524 to 776 of the family's 1533-position model. The record is from RNAcentral.